UAAAAAAUAAGACAACCUGUGUUCCUGUGCAGCUUCAUCCCUCAUCUUUCCCUAAGUGUCAAGAAGCAAUAGUUAGUCCACAAGCACGAGUGAAAUUACUGAACAAAAUUAAGAUGGAUACAGCACUCUAAAACACCCAUUUGAAUGCAUGUGAAAUCGACGACUUUCUCAAGGUUGAAACUUUGAAUGGAUUAAAGGAGAUCAGUGAGAGUACAUGUAAGUGCCCCCAGCUGUUUUCUGAAAUUAUCUUUUCUGGUGCCUGACAAUUGUUUUUUUUUUUUUUUUUUUUUGAGUCUUUCAGUUUUGCAAAUGACUGUGUCAAAAAUAAGAUAAGAAAUGAUGUAUUCAAUAAUCCCAUCAAAUUGAAUUUACAUAAUAGCACAGGACUCAGAUGAAUAUAAUAAGAGGAUUUGGAUUGAAAUUGUAAGUUCUGACCUUCCUAUCUUACUUUGCUUCAGUUAUAGAAUAAAGGGUACUUCAGAUAUGAUCACCACCAUCAUCAUUGCUCUGCCCUUAAAUGAAUUACCUAGAUGUAUCUGGAGGGUUGUCAUGUUGCUAAAGAUUCAGUUGAGUGGUACUUACCUUCUUGCUCCUAUUUGCACCUUGUUCUCAUAGCUGAGAUUAAAAAAUUAUGUUUCUGGCCGGGCACAGUGGCUCAAGCCUGUAAUCCCAGCACUUCAGGAGGCCGAGGCAGGAGGAUCAUGAGAUCAGGAGAUUGAGACCAUCCUGGCCAACACAGUGAAACUCCAUCUCUACUAAAAAUACAAAAAUUAGCCGGGCAUGGUGGUGUGUGCCUGUAGUCCCAGAUACUCGGGAGGCUGAGGCAGAAGAAUCAUUGAACCCACGAGGCAGAGGUUGCAGUGAGCUGAGAUCGUGCCACUGCACACUGCACUCCAGUCUGGUGACCAAGCAAGACUCCGUC
RNAcentral lists this long non-coding RNA (922 nucleotides) under Homo sapiens (human). Its description in RNAcentral is "HSALNT0143063". The record is from RNAcentral. Lineage: Eukaryota; Metazoa; Chordata; Mammalia; Primates; Hominidae.